RNAcentral lists this ribosomal RNA (499 nucleotides) under uncultured bacterium. RNAcentral describes it as "partial 16S ribosomal RNA". It matches the Rfam family "Bacterial small subunit ribosomal RNA", at positions 28 to 507 of the family's 1533-position model. The record is from RNAcentral.
GACGAACGCUGGCGGCGUGCCUAAUACAUGCAAGUCGAGCGGACCGAACAGGAGCUUGCUCUUGUUCGGUUAGCGGCGGACGGGUGAGUAACACGUGGGUAACCUGCCCGUAAGACCGGGAUAACUCCGGGAAACCGGAGCUAAUACCGGAUAACACCGAAGACCGCAUGGUCUUUGGUUGAAAGGCGGCUUCGGCUGCCACUUACGGAUGGGCCCGCGGCGCAUUAGCUAGUUGGUGAGGUAACGGCUCACCAAGGCGACGAUGCGUAGCCGGCCUGAGAGGGUGACCGGCCACACUGGGACUGAGACACGGCCCAGACUCCUACGGGAGGCAGCAGGAGGGAAUCUUCCGCAAUGGACGAAAGUCUGACGGAGCGACGCCGCGUGAGCGAAGAAGGUCUUCGGAUCGUAAAGCUCGGUUGUUAGGGAAGAAGAAGCGUCGUUCGAACAGGGCGGCGCGGUGACGGUACCUAACGAGAAAGCCCCGGCUAACUACGUG